This is a long non-coding RNA of Microplitis demolitor, 347 nucleotides long. RefSeq lists it as uncharacterized. The record is from RefSeq and is a predicted model, not a curated record. Lineage: Eukaryota; Metazoa; Arthropoda; Insecta; Hymenoptera; Braconidae. The transcript is spliced from 3 exons.
AAACUUGUGUUUAACUUGCUAAUACAUCGAUCGUCCUGAAGCAUAGUUAAACUACAAAAAUGUCAAAAAUAAUUCUAUUAUUAUUAUCUAUUUUCUUAUCAAUCGUCAUCUAUACUAGUGAAGUGGAGGGAUGUGUCGGUAAAUGGUGUCACCCCCAGCAAGGUUAUGGCUGUUGUGCAGGGCAUGAAUGUAGCUCAUAUAUGUUUCAAGGCAAUUGCGUCGUUCAAGGGAAUCUAGAUCAUCCAGGGCUUGCACUAAACGAGCUUUCACAUGGAAAAAAAUGAUUGUGAUGUGUAAUUGUAAUUAUAACUGUUACUGAUUACAGUUCAUUAAAUAAUUCAAAAUUA